This 85-nucleotide transfer RNA is filed under the name Dokdonia sp. 4H-3-7-5. Its description in RNAcentral is "tRNA-Leu". It matches the Rfam family "tRNA". From Rfam's summary of the family: Transfer RNA (tRNA) molecules are approximately 80 nucleotides in length. Their secondary structure includes four short double-helical elements and three loops (D, anti-codon, and T loops). Lineage: Bacteria; Pseudomonadati; Bacteroidota; Flavobacteriia; Flavobacteriales; Flavobacteriaceae. The record is from RNAcentral. RNAcentral also lists the same sequence under 3 other names.
GCGGGCGUGGUGGAAUUGGUAGACACGCCAGACUUAGGAUCUGGUGCCUCACGGUGUGGAAGUUCGAGUCUUCUCGCCCGUACAA